GUUAAAUUGGGUUAUUUGCUUUCAUAUUGUUGAGUAUGAAAAAUCCCUUAUAGAGUCUGCUUAAAAGUCCUUGGUCUGAUAUGUGAUUUGGAAACAUAUUCUCCAAGCCUGUACCUUCUCUUUUUACUCUUUUAAAAGUAUUUUUAGCAGAGAAAAAGGUUUAAAUUUUGGCGAAGCUCAGUUUAACAUUUUUUUUUUCUUUUCCAGAUCAUGCUUUUGUUGUUGAAGCCAAGAACUCAUUGCCUAAUUUAAGGUAGCAAGUCAUCAGGAAUGCUUAGCACGUAUGGACCAUUUCACAGAGAGUGUCUGAAACAAGAUAUUUCUUUCUAGCCUCACCUCUGGAUUGGACCGAGCAUGGAUACACUGGGCCAUUACCAUGAUUUAUCAGGAGCUGAUUACCUAGCCAAUCAUUCCCAUCAUUCCCUUACUGAAAUAAACUGAGAAAAAUCAAACUAACCUUCUAUUCACUGGAAGAUAUUCCAAAUGGUGGUUUGCUUCAUGCUUGCACAGAGACUCUGGCUGGGCAGCCCAGAUGAUCACUUUGUGUGAUGUGAUGCCCACAGCUGCCUAGCUGUCUCCAAGGGCCCAAUCAUUUAUCGCUUCUCUUUGGCUGUGUGUGUGUGCAAGCAGGCAGCUGGGGGUGUGUGUGACCCCAGGGCUUCUACAAUAAAUCAGAAUCCCUAAUGCCAGAU
RNAcentral lists this long non-coding RNA (692 nucleotides) under Homo sapiens (human). Its description in RNAcentral is "HSALNT0282018". The record is from RNAcentral. Lineage: Eukaryota; Metazoa; Chordata; Mammalia; Primates; Hominidae.